GCGGGUGUAGUUCAAAGGUAGAACCCGAGAUUCCCAUUCUCGUGAUGGCGGUUCGAUUCCGCUCACCCGCUCCA
RNAcentral lists this transfer RNA (74 nucleotides) under Chromatiaceae bacterium. RNAcentral describes it as "tRNA-Gly". It matches the Rfam family "tRNA". Rfam says of the family: Transfer RNA (tRNA) molecules are approximately 80 nucleotides in length. Their secondary structure includes four short double-helical elements and three loops (D, anti-codon, and T loops). RNAcentral also lists the same sequence under 1 other name. Lineage: Bacteria; Pseudomonadati; Pseudomonadota; Gammaproteobacteria; Chromatiales; Chromatiaceae. The record is from RNAcentral.